RNAcentral lists this ribosomal RNA (222 nucleotides) under uncultured bacterium. RNAcentral describes it as "partial 16S ribosomal RNA". It matches the Rfam family "Bacterial small subunit ribosomal RNA", at positions 57 to 305 of the family's 1533-position model. The record is from RNAcentral.
GCAAGUCGAGCGAACCCUUCGGGGUUAGCGGCGGACGGGUGAGUAACGCGUGGGAACGUGCCUUUUGGUUCGGAACAGCCCUUGGAAACGGGGAUUAAUUCCGGAUGAGCCCUUCGGGGGAAAGACUUCGGUCGCCAAGAGAUCGGCCCGCGUCGGAUUAGGUAGUUGGUAGGGUAACGGCCUACCAAGCCGACGAUCCGUACCUGGUUUGAGAGGAUGACC